AAGCUGCACUUCAGUAAGUAUUUGAGUACAUGUACUCAAAUACUUACUGAAGUACAUUAAAGCUGCACUUCAGUAAGUAUUUGAGUACAUGUACUCAGUUACAAUCUGUCUGACCCCUCUGAACACCAUCGUUGACCUGACAGCAUCGUGGGUUACAGUCAGAUUCAGUGUUGGACGAUCCAGGAGCACAGAUCACUCAGGAGGAGGAUCUGAGCUUGUUGCAGCGACAGUGAAGGCUCCUCCCCCUCCUCAGAGGGAGGGGCUAUCAGAGGAGACUUGUUAUUGAGGAAGAGCUCAGAUAUCAGCUGAGCGUUAACACACACGGACACACGGACCAGAACAGCAGCUCCUGACACCGCGCAUCUGAAGGAUGGUGUGACUGAUCAUCAGCGCCUGUCGGUACGUGGCGAGGAAGAUCCGGGCUGCGGCGCGAGGAGAGGAGCAGCCGGAGAAGCCGAGCACCGCGGGAUGCAAGCAGGCUAAAUCUCGCAAGGGCGACAGGAUGAGCAGCGAACCCGCCCUGAUGACCCCGCCCACAGAGCAGGACGUCGACGUGCUGCCGAAGGAGAACUGCGGGUCCUGAAAGUAAGCCGAGAGCUGGAGGGCAGGGAGGUCCAAAAAGCAUCCCAAUCAGACGCCGUGCCAAAUCAGACGCUGACUCUGACCUCGACCUCUUCCUGCUUCCGGCUCUCGGCGCUCUUUCGGCUCCUCCUUCCUCACGUCUCGGAGCGUCAGCAGAGAGGAUGAAAGGCUGCUCACCAAUUCCCCGCUCGAGGACCUGAGCAGCCCUGAUGACCGUGGCGGUCUCUGCUGACGGCGCUCUCACGCCAACCGCGCUUCUUUCUGUUGUUGCUUUAAUAAAAACCGUUUUAAACCUGA
Maylandia zebra (zebra mbuna) is the source of this 879-nucleotide long non-coding RNA. RefSeq lists it as uncharacterized. The record is from RefSeq and is a predicted model, not a curated record. Lineage: Eukaryota; Metazoa; Chordata; Actinopteri; Cichliformes; Cichlidae.